This 443-nucleotide ribosomal RNA is filed under the name uncultured bacterium. RNAcentral describes it as "bacterial SSU rRNA". It matches the Rfam family "Bacterial small subunit ribosomal RNA", at positions 29 to 506 of the family's 1533-position model. The record is from RNAcentral.
ACGAACGCUGGCGGCAUGCCUAACACAUGCAAGUCGAACGUGAUCCGGGACUUCGGUUCCGGUGAAAGUGGCGGACGGGUGAGUAACGCGUGGGAACCUGCCCAGUGGUAGGGGAUAACCGCGGGAAACUGCGGCUAAUACCCUAUGCGCCCUGCGGGGCAAAGAUUCAUCGCCAUUGGAGGGGCCCGCGUCGGAUUAGGUAGUUGGUGGGGUAACGGCCUACCAAGCCAUCGAUCCGUAGCUGGUCUGAGAGGAUGAUCAGCCACACUGGGACUGAGACACGGCCCAGACUCCUACGGGAGGCAGCAGUGGGGAGUAUUGGACAAUGGGGGCAACCCUGAUCCAGCAAUGCCGCGUGAGUGAUGAAGGCCUUAGGGUUGUAAAGCUCUUUCGGCGGGGAAGAUGAUGACGGUACCCGCAGAAGAAGCCCCGGCUAACUUCGU